UACGUAGGGGGCAAGCGUUGUCCGGAAUCAUUGGGCGUAAAGAGCGUGUAGGCGGUUCGGUAAGUCCGCUGUGAAAGUCCAGGGCUCAACCCUGGAAUGCCGGUGGAUACUGUCGGGCUAGAGUGCGGAAGAGGCGAGUGGAAUUCCUAGUGUAGCAGUGAAAUGCGUAGAUAUCGAGAGGAACACCAGUGGCGAAGGCGAGUCCCUGGACAACUCCUGACACUGAGGCACGAAAGCUAGGGGAGCAAACAGG
RNAcentral lists this ribosomal RNA (253 nucleotides) under uncultured bacterium. RNAcentral describes it as "partial 16S ribosomal RNA". It matches the Rfam family "Bacterial small subunit ribosomal RNA", at positions 524 to 776 of the family's 1533-position model. The record is from RNAcentral.